Molecule: small RNA, 566 nt
Filed under: Pongo abelii (Sumatran orangutan)
Lineage: Eukaryota; Metazoa; Chordata; Mammalia; Primates; Hominidae
Description: processed transcript
Source: RNAcentral
UGGAUUAGGGACUCCAAAGACAGCUGACAGCAUCUGGCUUUCAGUACCUCAGUCACCACUACUUUGUACCAAAUUCACUGUUUUGGCUCUGAAAUCUAAUUUUGAGUUUAGCAAGGAUGUCUGCAUUGCUCAUGCAAAUGAACUAAGCGUUCAUUGGAAUGACACCAUCACCACCCAAAUGAAAAGAACUGGCUGGAAUAUUCAUCAGCCUACUAAUGUCAUCUCCCAACCCACUCUCCAAAAUCCAUCCCAAAAAAGCAUCCAGUUCAGAAUUGCUCACUGUUGGCACAGAAAGAAUGUCACUAAUUUAUUUACAGGGAGCAGAUAGCAGGGACUUACAGAUGAACCAGGCCCUGCGAUUUUUGGAAAAUGAGCACCAGGAACUGCAGGCCAAGAUUGAAUGCCUGCAAGGGGACAGAGACCUGUGCAGCUUGGAUACCCAGGACCUACAAGGUCAACUAAAAAGGUCAGAGGCGGAGAAACUCACCCUGGUGACCAGAGUACAGCAGUUGCAGAGUUUGCUUCAGAAUCAAUCCUUACAGCUUCAAGAACAGGAGAAACUCUUA